AUUCCUUCCAAAUUCCAACUCUGUCCUUUCCUGAACUCUGUUUCCCCACACAGACCCUGCACUUAACCCUUCCUUAUUUCCUCAGCCGGGGACCUGGCUGGGACCUGGAUUUCCUCUCAUCACUUGCCUCUGCAGUCAGGAGUCCAAGCUCAACAGCCUUGGGCUUUAGAGACUCCCAUAGUUCCACAAAGGCUGAGCUGCCCUGAGUCCUAGAGCCCAUCCUCUCUCUGGGGUGAGGUUGCUAUUCUCUGAUCCUAAUUUCAAUGUCAGGCUCAGGUGAGGCUUGGAAUCCUUGGUGUGUAUAUGUGAUGUUUGUGUAAGAUGAGGAUACUAGGGGUCGGGAAAAGCUGUUAUACAGUAGUUCAUGUGCUUUUUUCUGCCUGGGGAGGUGACAGGCACUAAGGCAGGCAGUGCAGGGCCUGCUAGAAGAGCGAGAGCAGCAGAAGUACCAGAUCAGUGUCCUGGAAGGUAUCUGGCCAGUUAUUUUCUUCAUAUACACAGCUUCAUAUGUAU
This 513-nucleotide long non-coding RNA is filed under the name Homo sapiens (human). RNAcentral's name for it is "HSALNT0006188". Lineage: Eukaryota; Metazoa; Chordata; Mammalia; Primates; Hominidae. The record is from RNAcentral.